This 425-nucleotide ribosomal RNA is filed under the name uncultured bacterium. RNAcentral describes it as "partial 16S ribosomal RNA". It matches the Rfam family "Bacterial small subunit ribosomal RNA", at positions 354 to 796 of the family's 1533-position model. The record is from RNAcentral.
GUGGGGAAUCUUGCGCAAUGGGCGAAAGCCUGACGCAGCCAUGCCGCGUGAAUGAUGAAGGUCUUAGGAUUGUAAAAUUCUUUCACCGGGGACGAUAAUGACGGUACCCGGAGAAGAAGCCCCGGCUAACUUCGUGCCAGCAGCCGCGGUAAUACGAAGGGGGCGAGCGUUAUUCGGAAUCACUGGGCGUAAAGCGUGCGUAGGCGGUUUUGUAAGUUAGGAGUGAAAGCCCAGGGCUCAACCUUGGAAUUGCUCUUAAAACUGCAAGGCUCGAAUCUCGGAGAGGAUAGCGGAAUUUCCAGUGUAGCAGUGAAAUGCGUAGAUAUUGGAAGGAACACCAGUGGCGUAAGCGGCUAUCUGGACGAGUAUUGACGCUGAGGCACGAAAGCGUGGGGAUCAAACAGGAUUAGAAACCCCUGUAGUCC